This 464-nucleotide ribosomal RNA is filed under the name Streptococcus sp. oral taxon G62. RNAcentral's name for it is "bacterial SSU rRNA". It matches the Rfam family "Bacterial small subunit ribosomal RNA", at positions 28 to 474 of the family's 1533-position model. Lineage: Bacteria; Bacillati; Bacillota; Bacilli; Lactobacillales; Streptococcaceae. The record is from RNAcentral.
GACGAACGCUGGCGGCGUGCCUAAUACAUGCAAGUAGAACGCUGAAGAGAGGAGCUUGCUCUUCUUGGAUGAAUUGCGAACGGGUGAGUAACGCGUAGGUAACCUGCCUGGUAGCGGGGGAUAACUAUUGGAAACGAUAGCUAAUACCGCAUGAAAUGGAUUAUCGCAUGAUAAUCGAUUGAAAGGUGCAAAUGCAUCACUACCAGAUGGACCUGCGUUGUAUUAGCUAGUUGGUGAGGUAACGGCUCACCAAGGCAACGAUACAUAGCCGACCUGAGAGGGUGAUCGGCCACACUGGGACUGAGACACGGCCCAGACUCCUACGGGAGGCAGCAGUAGGGAAUCUUCGGCAAUGGACGGAAGUCUGACCGAGCAACGCCCCGUGAGUGAAGAAGGUUUUCGGAUCGUAAAGCUCUGUUGUAAGAGAAGAACGAGUGUGAGAGUGGAAAGUUCACACUGUGACG